CUUCGUUUCUCUUUCUUCAGAUGAUGAUCCCAAGCCUUCUGGCGAUCUCUUAAAUAAAGCUUUCCAUGUUUUUAAUAACCAUGGCUUUUAGACACCUCUUUAAAUUCUUAAUGAUAUUAAAGAUCAGGGGUUAAAAAAAAGAGCUUUAACAAAGAAAGCAACUUAAAAAAACUUUCCAUUGAUAUAAGAUGAUACCGGGGAAGGUUUUCCGGUUUGUUCCGGAGGGCUUGUAGCUCAGUUGGUUAGAGCGCGCGCUUGAUAAGCGUGAGGUCGGAGGUUCAAGUCCUCCCAGGCCCACCAAUUACUCUAUCAAUCUAUAAGCGCUUGUGAAAUUUACUCAUAGGGAAUGUCCCUUAUCAGUUUUUAAGAAAUUUACUUUUGCAAAAUUAUGCUCUCUCUUUGGUUUUAAAAUCCGAAUUUUUAAAAACUAAAGUUAAAGUGGUCUCAAGAUAAAACGGUGUUUUGAGACAAAGUGCAAAAAAUAACGAUUUAAGUGAUAAAUAGCGGUUUAAGUGAACUUAAAUUUGAGCGUUUCAAGUGCAUUAUGUUUUUUUAGGGGCCGUAGCUCAGCUGGGAGAGCACCUGCUUUGCAAGCAGGGGGUCGUCGGUUCGAUCCCGUCCGGCUCCACCAUUUGGUCAUCAUCAUGUUGUAAGAACACGUUUUCGUGAAGGAUUUAUGAAUCUUUCGCUUGUUCUAUUGAAAUUGUGAAGAGAAG
This 716-nucleotide transfer RNA is filed under the name Bartonella sp. KM2581. RNAcentral's name for it is "partial 16S-23S ribosomal RNA intergenic spacer". The stretch from base 224 to 297 matches the Rfam family "tRNA". Lineage: Bacteria; Pseudomonadati; Pseudomonadota; Alphaproteobacteria; Hyphomicrobiales; Bartonellaceae. The record is from RNAcentral.